RNAcentral lists this microRNA (23 nucleotides) under Gallus gallus (chicken). RNAcentral describes it as "gga-miR-1642". Lineage: Eukaryota; Metazoa; Chordata; Aves; Galliformes; Phasianidae. The record is from miRBase by way of RNAcentral.
UGAGAGGCUGUCAGUUUGUGGGG